Molecule: non-coding RNA, 1092 nt
Organism: Cinara cedri
Lineage: Eukaryota; Metazoa; Arthropoda; Insecta; Hemiptera; Aphididae
Source: the annotation of a GenBank genome assembly
AGUAAUUACAAUAAUAUUCGUUUACUACGUUUUUGUAAUGGUAAUUUGGUAAUAACCAGACGAGAGAACGUCAUUUAUUUGUACAUUAGCGUAGGUAUAUACCGGCUAGAUGACGUCUCUGUCGUCCAUGAAUCCCAUAAUAAUACUAUGUAUUAUUCAAUUUGAUUGACACGAGUCACUUCACAUCGCCGCCACGUAGAAUUUAUGCGAAACGACACGCGGCCAUUAAUACGCGUCUGCCAAAUUUCCGUCCGGGCGCCAGCCCCGGAUAAUAAUACCUAUUAUCUAAUAUACAGAGUGAAAACCGUAACUAUAUUUACGGAGAUUUCGAGUGAAUUCGAUUUUAAAACCCCCUCCCCCCCAUAAACAUUGUCCCCCACAGCGUUAUCGUAUCCACGGACGGGAGGCUUUAAGGGGUUUAGUUUCUCCCUGCGUAUAAUUGGUCGCGUUAAAAUAUAGCAAGAAAAAUAUAUACGUAUAAAUUAUUCAGCACUGAAAACGUCUAUUAUUGACUGAUAAAACAGCCUAUAAGCUAACCAUUGCACGUUUGCGCUACAAACUCGACACCUAUUAAGUAUAUACGCAGAAAUACUUUGCGAAAUAACCUCAAACAAAAAUAGGGCAUUACUAUAAUAAUAACAGAUUUGGACGUAAUCCUGGGUAUGACCUAUACGAGUUCAAAUAGCACAUUUUUCAACGCGUAUUCUAAAAGAGAUUGUUAUUUCUCUUUACGAUUAGAAAUUCGAAAAUAAAACGAUUCGACCGAAAAAAAAAACCCCAAAAUCUUCGUAGAUAGACAAUCGAUUAUAUGCGGGUGAAAUACAGUCGCCCUGUACAUAUUAUUAUUAUUAUGUCUGGAACUCUGUACACCGGCGACAGAGUACUGGAGUGCGGAGUUUACGGCAAGUGAUUGAUGUGAAUAAUAUAUGAGAUCAUCAUCCACUUUCGGGUUGUUAAUGUUCGGUAUAGGAUUUUUACUAUUUGGACCGAGUUCAACAUAUUGUCUCGGUCGGGAAACGAGAAGCUUAUUUUUCAUCGCAACCGUCAGUGUGUAUAAUUGCCAGCGGACGGGCAAUUCUAAUUUCGUGGCCG